CUCCUAGUACAAUUUUGUGAUCCAUAAUUUUAUUAAUCAAGUUAUGGUCACGAUCACACAAUUUAUGAUCACAAUAAUAUACUUUCACAAAUUACAUAAAGUCACGAUUACAAAGACAACUAUAGGAUUUAGUCAAAUCAUGCAUUUUUAUAAGCAACCACUCUCCAAAUUAAUUGGUCAGAAUUAUCUAAUUAAUUGAUCACAAACACUCUUCAUCCCACUCUACCCCCAUUCCACCACAGUCAACUCCAUCGAGACUGUCGUCGCCACCUCAAAUCGAUACACUUCCACCUCCAUCACUCCACCACCUAGACCUAAUCCACAACCGACACCAUCUCAACUCCACCACACAAUUGCCACCAUCACACAACCACCAUCUCCAACACCUGCACCUCAUCUACGACCAUCGACUACCAUCAAUACCACACAAAUGACGUCACUAUCACCACUCCAUACACCCACAUGUUCUCUUGCAAAAACCCAUAACGAUUUCACAGCAAUGACGCCCAAAUCUAUCAUGGAAAAUCCUAGAUAAGUUCAUGGAUGUAUGUUUUCAAGAACUUAUAGGCUUGAUUUAGCAAAGUUAAGGGUUGAUUCAUAAAGAUGACGAUGGAAAGCCAAAAAAAGAUGGUAGAAUUAAUCUAGCGUUGGUGGUGUCAAACUCUCUAUGUUUUACAAUUGGUCUUCCUCGAGAAUCUUAGAGGGAGAAAGAACAGAAGUGGCUAGUGAAUAGACAAAUGUUAUCGAAUGGAGACAAGAAACUCAGAAAGAAUAUGCAGUUGGCAAUAACUAUUAUAGAGGAGGAGGGGAGUCAAUGUUCGGUAAGGUACUUGUAGCAAGUGUGGUGGUGGAGAGCAAAUACAUUAGAAGCAGUGAUUUGUGGCGACAACGGUAGUGGAUGUCUUUGUAGAUGAUGGUGGUGGU
Molecule: long non-coding RNA, 924 nt
Filed under: Olea europaea subsp. europaea
Lineage: Eukaryota; Viridiplantae; Streptophyta; Magnoliopsida; Lamiales; Oleaceae
Source: RNAcentral